CGAAUAUUGUCCGGAGCCAUGAAGGGUUCCGGGGAAAGGGAGGCCUCUGAUACAAGCUUUCGCCUUAAGAUGAGCCCAUGGCCCAUCAGCUAGUUGGUAGGGUAAAGGCCUACCAAGGCUACGACGGGUCGCUGGUCUGAGAGGACGACCAGCCACACUGGCACUGAGAUACGGGCCAGACUCCUACGGGAGGCAGCAGUGAGGAAUAUUGCGCAAUGGGGGGAAACCCUGACGCAGCAACGCCGCGUGUGGGAAGAAGGCCUUCGGGUCGUAAACCACUUUUUGCACGGGGACGAAAAAGGGAUAUCGAACAAAUAUCCCCGAUGACGGUACCGUGAGAAAUAAGCCACGGCUAAACUCUAGUGCCAGCAGCCGCGGUAAGACAGAGGUGGCAAGCGUUGUUCGGAAUUACUGGGC
This 417-nucleotide ribosomal RNA is filed under the name uncultured bacterium. RNAcentral's name for it is "bacterial SSU rRNA". It matches the Rfam family "Bacterial small subunit ribosomal RNA", at positions 170 to 559 of the family's 1533-position model. The record is from RNAcentral.